CGGUUGAUCCUGCCGGACCCGACCGCUAUCGGGGUGGGGCUAAGCCAUGCGAGUCGUGCGCCCCAGGCCAUGGUGGGGCGCGGCGCACGGCUCAGUAACACGUGGCCAACCUACCCUCAGGACGGGGAUAACCCCGGGAAACUGGGGCUAAUACCCGAUAGGCAAUGGCUCCUGGAAUGGGCCAUUGCCGAAAGGGGGUUGAGGCCACGCUCCUCAACCCCGCCUGAGGAUGGGGCUGCGGCCCAUCAGGUAGUUGGCGGGGUAACGGCCCGCCAAGCCGAUAACGGGUACGGGCCGUGAGAGCGGGAGCCCGGAGAUGGGCCCUGAGACAAGGGCCCAGGCCCUACGGGGCGCAGCAGGCGCGAAACCUCCGCUAUGCGCGAAAGCGCGACGGGGUCACCCCGAGUGCCGCCCGAUGAGGGCGGCUUUUCCCCAGUGUAAUAAGCUGGGGGAAUAAGCGGGGGGCAAGUCUGGUGUCAGCCGCCGCGGUAAUACCAGCCCCGCGAGUGGUCGGGACGCUUAUUGGGGCUUAAAGCGUCCGUAGCCGGCCCAGCAAGUCUCUCCUUAAAUCCCACGGCUCAACCGUGGGGCUGGGAGAGAUACUGCUGGGCUAGGGGGCGGGAGAGGCCGAGGGUACUCCCGGGGUAGGGGCGAAAU
This 657-nucleotide ribosomal RNA is filed under the name uncultured archaeon. RNAcentral describes it as "bacterial SSU rRNA". It matches the Rfam family "Archaeal small subunit ribosomal RNA", at positions 5 to 638 of the family's 1478-position model. The record is from RNAcentral.